Long non-coding RNA from Hevea brasiliensis (rubber tree), 280 nucleotides. RefSeq lists it as uncharacterized. The transcript has 3 exons. The record is from RefSeq and is a predicted model, not a curated record. NCBI's taxonomy places the organism in Eukaryota, Viridiplantae, Streptophyta, Magnoliopsida, Malpighiales, Euphorbiaceae.
CAAAAAGAGGGCGAGAGUUGUAGGGUUCGAUGGCCGGUGGCUCUGAUGCGGCGGAAGCAACUACCUUAUCCUGUGCUCAAUGCAGGAAGCCUGUGCAUCUUCAGUGCCCAAAGUGCAUGGAAUUAAAGCUUCCUCAAGAAGGUGCCGCUUUUAGGAUCUGCUCUUGUGCAUUGAGAAAAGAAAUUCAGGGAGACAUUGGCAAAGAUUGAUCUAGGAAGUGUCUCUCAAUAAUUGAUAAUAUGUUGCCUUUCGUUUGUGUUAGUUCAUGUCAUACGCGACA